UAAUGUAUGGGGAUCUGCCCGGAUAGAGGGGGAUAACUACUGGAAACGGUGGCUAAUACCGCAUAAUGUCUACGGACCAAAGCAGGGGCUCUUCGGGACCUUGCACUAUCGGAUGAACCCAUAUGGGAUUAGCUAGUAGGUGGGGUAAAGGCUCACCUAGGCGACGAUCUCUAGCUGGUCUGAGAGGAUGAUCAGCCACACUGGGACUGAGACACGGCCCAG
RNAcentral lists this ribosomal RNA (222 nucleotides) under uncultured bacterium. RNAcentral describes it as "partial 16S ribosomal RNA". It matches the Rfam family "Bacterial small subunit ribosomal RNA", at positions 111 to 334 of the family's 1533-position model. The record is from RNAcentral.